RNAcentral lists this ribosomal RNA (497 nucleotides) under uncultured bacterium. RNAcentral's name for it is "partial 16S ribosomal RNA". It matches the Rfam family "Bacterial small subunit ribosomal RNA", at positions 28 to 507 of the family's 1533-position model. The record is from RNAcentral.
GACGAACGCUGGCGGCGUGCCUAACACAUGCAAGUCGAACGAACAGGCGAGGAGCUUGCGCCUCUGACGUUAGCGGCGGACGGGUGCGUCACACGUGUAUAACCUACCUAUCAGACUGGGAUAACUUCGGGAAACCGGAGCUAAUACCGGAUAAUAUAUUGAACCGCAUUGUUCACUAGUGAAAUACGGUUUUGCUGUCACUUAUAGAUGGAUCCGCGGCGCAUGAGCUAGUGGGUAAGGUAACGGCUUACCAAGGCUACGAUGCGUAGCCGACCUCAGCGGGUGGUCGGCUAGCCUGGAUGUGAGGCACGGUCGAGACUCCUACGGUAAGACGCAGUCGGGAAUCCUCCGCAAUGGAGGAGAGGCUGACGGAGCAACGCGGCGGAAGGGCUGAAGGUGUACGGCUGGGAAAGCGAUGUUAGUAGGGGAGAACAAAUGUGCAAGUAACCGUGCACGUAUUGACGGUACCGGGUCAAUAAGCCACGGCUAACUACGUG